RNAcentral lists this ribosomal RNA (496 nucleotides) under uncultured bacterium. Its description in RNAcentral is "partial 16S ribosomal RNA". It matches the Rfam family "Bacterial small subunit ribosomal RNA", at positions 29 to 507 of the family's 1533-position model. The record is from RNAcentral.
AUGCACGCUGGCGGCGUGCCUAAUCCCUGCAAGUCGCGCGCACGGACGAGAAGCUUGCUUCUCUGAUGUUAGCGGCGGACGGGUGAGUAACACGUGGAUAACCUACCUAUAAGACUGGGAUAACUUCGGGAAACCGUAGCUAAUACCGGAUAAUAUUUUGAACCGCAUGGUUCAAAAGUGAAAGACGGUCUUGCUGUCACUUAUAGAUGGAUCCGCGCUGCAUUAGCUAGUUGGUAAGGUAACGGCUUACCAAGGCAACGAUGCAUAGCCGACCUGAGAGGGUGAUCGGCCACACUGGAACUGAGACACGGUCCAGACUCCUACGGGAGGCAGCAGUAGGGAAUCUUCCGCAAUGGGCGAAAGCCUGACGGAGCAACGCCGCGUGAGUGAUGAAGGUCUUCGGAUCGUAAAACUCUGUUAUUAGGGAAGAACAUAUGUGUAAGUAACUGUGCACAUCUUGACGGUACCUAAUCAGAAAGCCACGGCUAACUACGUG